This is a non-coding RNA of Coniella lustricola, 106 nucleotides long. The record is from the annotation of a GenBank genome assembly. NCBI's taxonomy places the organism in Eukaryota, Fungi, Ascomycota, Sordariomycetes, Diaporthales, Schizoparmaceae.
GGCGCGAUGGCAGAGUGGUCUAAUGCGAUAGACUCGAACGAGCUCAAUAGUUCCUUCUUGAAAUCUAUUCUCUUCGGAGGCGUAGGUUCAAAUCCUACUCGCGUCG